GGGGUGGUGGCUCAGUAGUAGAGCACUCGCCUAGCACAUGAGAGGAACUGGGUUCGAUCCUCUGCCCCA
RNAcentral lists this transfer RNA (69 nucleotides) under Ictidomys tridecemlineatus (thirteen-lined ground squirrel). RNAcentral describes it as "Spermophilus tridecemlineatus (thirteen-lined ground squirrel) tRNA". It matches the Rfam family "tRNA". Rfam says of the family: Transfer RNA (tRNA) molecules are approximately 80 nucleotides in length. The record is from Rfam by way of RNAcentral. Lineage: Eukaryota; Metazoa; Chordata; Mammalia; Rodentia; Sciuridae.